This is a long non-coding RNA of Neltuma alba, 92 nucleotides long. RefSeq lists it as uncharacterized. NCBI's taxonomy places the organism in Eukaryota, Viridiplantae, Streptophyta, Magnoliopsida, Fabales, Fabaceae. The record is from RefSeq and is a predicted model, not a curated record. The transcript has 3 exons.
UAGGAGCCAAUACCAACACUGUGGGUCCAUUCAGGGAAUUGUUACGCCUCUGUCUAAGAAUCAUAAAUGCUGGAAAAAAAUUUGGUUAUUUA